GAAUCUGCCCUCAGGAGGGGGAUAACAGCUGGAAACGGCUGCUAAUACCCCAUAUGCCGCGAGGUGAAAUGAAUUUCGCCUGAGGAUGAGCUCGCGUCUGAUUAGCUAGUUGGUGUUGGUAAUGGCUCACCAAGGCAUCGAUCAGUAGCUGGUCUGAGAGGAUGAUCAGCCACACUGGGACUGAGAUACGGCCCAGACUCCUACGGGAGGCAGCAGUGGGGAAUUUUCCGCAAUGGGCGAAAGCCUGACGGAGCAACGCCGCGUGAGGGAUGAAGGCCUCUGGGCUGUAAACCUCUUUUCUCAAGGAAGAAGAUCUGACGGUACUUGAGGAAUAAGCCACGGCUAAUUCCGUGCCAGCAGCCGCGGUAAUACGGGAGUGGCAAGCGUUAUCCGGAAUUAUUGGGCGUAAAGCGUCCGCAGGCGGCCCUUCAAGUCUGCUGUUAAAACGUGGAGCUUAACUCCAUCAUGGCAGUGGAAACUGUUGGGCUUGAGUGUGGUAGGGGCAGAGGGAAUUCCCGGUGUAGCGGUGAAAUGCGUAGAUAUCGGGAAGAACACCAGUGGCGAAGGCGCUCUGCUGGGCCAUCACUGACGCUCAUGGACGAAAGCCAGGGGAGCGAAAGGGAUUAGAUACCCCUGUAGUCCUGGCCGUAAACGAUGAACACUAGGUGUCGGGGGAAUCGACCCCCUCGGUGUCGUAGCCAACGCGUUAAGUGUUCCGCCUGGGGAGUACGCACGCAAGUGUGAAACUCAAAGGAAUUGACGGGGGCCCGCACAAGCGGUGGAGUAUGUGGUUUAAUUCGAUGCAACGCGAAGAACCUUACCAGGGUUUGACAUCCUGCGAAUCUCUGGGAAACCGGAGGGUGCCUUCGGGAACGCAGUGACAGGUGGUGCAUGGCUGUCGUCAGCUCGUGUCGUGAGAUGUUGGGUUAAGUCCCGCAACGAGCGCAACCCACGUCUUUAGUUGCCAGCAUUUAGUUGGGCACUCUAGAGAGACCGCCGGUGACAAACCGGAGGAAGGUGUGGAUGACGUCAAGUCAUCAUGCCCCUUACGUCCUGGGCUACACACGUACUACAAUGCUACGGACAAAGAGCAGCUAACUCGCGAGAGUACGCAAAUCUCAUAAACCGUGGCUCAGUUCAGAUCGUAG
This 1148-nucleotide ribosomal RNA is filed under the name uncultured Synechococcus sp. RNAcentral describes it as "bacterial SSU rRNA". It matches the Rfam family "Bacterial small subunit ribosomal RNA", at positions 122 to 1303 of the family's 1533-position model. The record is from RNAcentral. Lineage: Bacteria; Bacillati; Cyanobacteriota; Cyanophyceae; Synechococcales; Synechococcaceae.